RNAcentral lists this ribosomal RNA (420 nucleotides) under bacterium. RNAcentral's name for it is "partial 16S ribosomal RNA". It matches the Rfam family "Bacterial small subunit ribosomal RNA", at positions 355 to 776 of the family's 1533-position model. The record is from RNAcentral.
UGGGGGAUAUUGCACAAUGGGCGAAAGCCUGAUGCAGCGACGCCGCGUGGGGGAUGAAGGCUUUCGGGUUGUAAACCUCUUUCGCUAUCGAACAAGGCCCGCUUAGGGUGGGUUGAGGGUAGGUGGAGAAGAAGCGCCGGCUAACUACGUGCCAGCAGCCGCGGUAAUACGUAGGGCGCGAGCGUUGUCCGGAAUUAUUGGGCGUAAAGGGCUUGUAGGCGGCUUGUUGCGCCUGCUGUGAAAACGCGGGGCUUAACUUCGCGCGUGCAGUGGGUACGGGCAGGGUUGAGUGUGGGAGGGGUGACUGGAAUUCCAGGUGUAGCGGUGGAAUGCGCAGAUAUCUGGGGGAACACCGAUGGCGAAGGCAGGUCACUGGGCCAUUACUGACGCUGAGGAGCGAAAGCAUGGGUAGCGAACAGG